GAUGAACGCUGACAGAAUGCUUAACACAUGCAAGUCAACUGAGGCGGACGGGCGAGAAACGCGUAAAGAACUUGCCUUACAGUGCGGGACAACAUUGGGAAAAGAAAGCUAAUACCUGAUACUGUGUGAGAGCUUUGCGUCCCAUUAGCUCGUUGGAGAGGUAACUGCUCACCAAGGCGAUGAUGGGUAGCCGGCCUGAGAGGGUGAUCGGCAACAAGGGGUCUGAGACACGGCCCUUACUCCUACGGGAGGCAGCAGUGGUGAAUAUUGGACCAUGGAACAAGGUCUGAUCCAGCAAUUCUGUGUGCACGAUGAAGUUUUCGGAAUGUAAAGUGCUUUCAGUUGGGGAGCGGUACCAACAGAGGAAGUGACGGCUAAAUACGUGCCAGCAGCCGCGGUAAUUC
This 404-nucleotide ribosomal RNA is filed under the name uncultured bacterium. Its description in RNAcentral is "partial 16S ribosomal RNA". It matches the Rfam family "Bacterial small subunit ribosomal RNA", at positions 28 to 526 of the family's 1533-position model. The record is from RNAcentral.